AUGUGACUGGGAGUGUAUUAAACAUAAAUAAUAUAUAAGUGUUGAAUAUUUUAUUGGUGUAUGGAGAUGUUCUUGUCAUUUAGAAGCACUUGCGGUGGACAAUGCCGGGGCCGGACUCGUCGUAUUCCUCCUUGGUGAUCCACAUGGUCUGGAAGGUGGACAGAGAGGCAAGGAUGGAGCCACCGAUCCAUACGGAGUACUUGCGCUCAGGAGGAGCAAUGAUCUUGAUCUUGAUGGUGGGAGGAGCAAGAGCAGUGAUUU
Eriocheir sinensis (Chinese mitten crab) is the source of this 261-nucleotide long non-coding RNA. RefSeq lists it as uncharacterized. The record is from RefSeq and is a predicted model, not a curated record. NCBI's taxonomy places the organism in Eukaryota, Metazoa, Arthropoda, Malacostraca, Decapoda, Varunidae. The transcript has 2 exons.